GCGAGUGAAGAGGGAAGAGCUCAUCAUUGGAAUCUGACAGCGUUACGCUGUCCGAGUUGUAGAUGAGGAGUAGUCCAUCUGGACUGCAUGGCGUCCAAGUACAAUAGGCCGUCAGUGGGACAUCAUAGAGGGUGACAAUCCCGUCCUUGAUGCCAAUGUGCAAGUCCGUUACGAUGGCUAUCUCAGAGAGUCGAGCAGUUUGGGAUUUGCUGCUUAAACAUGGGAGGUAGAUUCCUUCUAAAGCUAAAUACAGGCGAGAGACCGAUAGAGAACAAGUACCGCAAGGGAAAGAUGAAAUAGAACUCUGUGAAGGGAGUCAAAAGGCGUGAAAUUGUUGCGAGAGAAGCGAUUCAAGUCAGCGUAGCUAGGCCCAUCAAGCCUCUUUGYGCUUUGGACUAGCUUUGCCAGCGGUCUUGUCCCUUAGAGACUUGACUUUUUU
RNAcentral lists this ribosomal RNA (439 nucleotides) under Cantharellus flavolateritius. Its description in RNAcentral is "partial large subunit ribosomal RNA". Lineage: Eukaryota; Fungi; Basidiomycota; Agaricomycetes; Cantharellales; Hydnaceae. The record is from RNAcentral.